CUGGCGAACGGGUGAGUAACGCGUAGGCAACCUGCCUCUUAGUUGGGGACAGCCCCGGGAAACCGGGAUUAAUACCGAAUAUUGUCCCGCUCUGCAAGGAGCGGGAUGAAAGUGGUGCCGAUUUAUCGGUAUCACGCUGAGAGAUGGGCCUGCGUCUGAUUAGCUUGUUGGUGAGGUAACGGCUCACCAAGGCGACGAUCAGUAGCUGGUUCGAGAGGAUGAUCAGCCACACUGGGACUGAGAUACGGCCCAGACUCCUACGGGAGGCAGCAGUGGGGAAUUUUGCGCAAUGGGCGAAAGCCUGACGCAGCAACGCCGCGUGAUCGACGAAGCUCUGAGGAGUGUAAAGAUCUGUCCCGGGGGAAGAACAACCCCGAUGCUCAUACCAUCGGGGUCUGACGGUACCCCGGAAGAAAGCCCCGGCUAACUUCGUGCCAGCAGCCGCGGUAAUACGAGGGGGGCGAGCGUUGUCCGGAUUUAUUGGGUGUAAAGGGCUCGUAGGCGGGCCGAUCAGUCGGAACUUAAAUCCCACGGCUUAACCGUGGACCUGGUUUCGAUACUGUCGGCCUUGAGAUCGGUAGAGGAAAGCGGAAUUCCUGGUGUAGCGGUGAAAUGCGUAGAUAUCAGGAAGAACACCGAUGGCGAAGGCAGCUUUCUGGGCCGACACUGACGCUGAGGAGCGAAAGCGUGGGUAGCGAACAGGAUUAGAUACCCUGGUAGUCCACGCCGUAAACGAUGAGUACUUGAUGGUGGGGGAUUCGACCCCUUCACUGUCGGAGCUAACGCG
Molecule: ribosomal RNA, 787 nt
Filed under: uncultured bacterium
Lineage: Bacteria
Description: bacterial SSU rRNA
Rfam family: Bacterial small subunit ribosomal RNA
Source: RNAcentral